UAAGCACUUGUGUGGUGGGGGGUGUGUGUGUCGGGGGGUGGAACUUUAAAAGGUAGUGAAGAUUUUUAAAUCAAAUUUUCUCUUUUACAUUUUUUUAAAAAAAAAAGAAGAAAAUAAACACAAAUAGAAGAGACGAGACACCGCGGUGAGUGUGAAGUUACAUCAUGCCACAAUAAAUAAAGGUGACGCUUGAAAAAGAGGGAGAGAAGGAGGGAGGGACUCUGUGCAAGAUGGCCGUGUGUGUGUUGUGAAGCUUUAGCACGAGUAGUAGUAGUAGUAGUAGUAGUAGUAGUAGUAGUACUAAAGGGAGUACAAGGAGUAGUAGUAGACGUAGUGUUGACUUCUUUGCUGGACGCUGUUGUUUCCAGUGUUGUUGUUCUGGGGGGGGGGGGGGGGGGGGUGUAGGAUUAUAUUAGGGUUCUAGGUUGAAGUCUCUGUCUUGGGGGUUUCGAACCGUCGACCACCCCGCUCUCCUACUACAACAUGCUGGACUGAAACACAUGGAAAACACUGUGAUGUUUUGUUUUGUUUUUUGUUGUUGUUUUUUUUUUUUUUUUUUAGAAAACGUCUGUGAAACAGUUCACGUCUGAGACAGAGUUUUCACAGCUACACCGUCCACAGGCUGACGGGAGGAAGAAGAGGAGGAGGAGGAGGAGUCCAGCCACCAGAUGCAGGGAGAGCUACAGCACAGAGUCACGUGACCUACAACAGUAACACAGAGUCCCGACACAGAGAGAGAGGCAGAGUUUGUGGAGCCACUUUGUCCAGUGAGCGGUGAGUGUACCUGGGCAGAGAUAGGCCAAUGUCCUCAGCCUCUGGGUCCAUACAGUCUGCACGUCUUCAGUGAUGAAACAUCAACAUCAACAUCAGCAAAGUAACGCCAGCACGCUGUCCUGAAGACAAACUGAGGACGAGCAGAAAAACGACAACAACAACAACACAGUGAUGAGUCGGUUUGAUUCUGACCUGUUGACCUGCUGACCUGUUGACCUGUUGACCGACCGUUUGUUCUC
Cynoglossus semilaevis (tongue sole) is the source of this 1013-nucleotide long non-coding RNA. RefSeq lists it as uncharacterized. The transcript is spliced from 4 exons. The record is from RefSeq and is a predicted model, not a curated record. Lineage: Eukaryota; Metazoa; Chordata; Actinopteri; Pleuronectiformes; Cynoglossidae.